GGGCAAAAGGCAACACAUCCAACUUGUGCUCUUUACUAGGCCUGUUCCUCUCCCUUAUCAUCGCCGCGGCCUCUGCCAACGUUAGGAUUUCGGGCGCCGGGGGCUGAAGGAGUGGGGCAGCUGGUAGAGGGUUACAGGCAUGGCCGAGGUGAAAUGGCAAUGGCGAGUUGCCUGAUGGCUCCUGGGAUUGGUCAGAUGGUUGUUUCUUGAUCAUCUUCAUCUCCUGCUCCCGAAUUGGGGCCUCAGCAGCAACAUAUGUAGAAGGAGAUAGAAACCUCUGCUCCAAGCGCUUGUGCUCCUUCUUCUUCUUCUUCCCUCGCUCCUCCUCAAAGGUAGGAUUUGGGGCAAAAGGCAACACAUCCAACUUGAGCUCUUUACUAGGCAUGUUCUUCUCCCUUAUCAUCCCCGCAGCCUCUGCCAACGUUAGGAUUUCGGGCGCCGGGGGCUGAAGGCGUGGGGCAGCUGGUAGAGGGUUACAGGCAUGGCCGAGGUGAAGUGGCAACGGCGAGUUGCCUGAUGGCUCCUGGGAUUGGUCGGAUGAUUGUUUCUUGAUCAUCUUCAUCUCCUGCUCCCGAAUUGGGGCCUCAGCAGCAACAGCUGUAGAAGGAGAUAGAAACCUCUGCUCCACACGCUUGUGCUUCUUCUUCUUCCCUCGCUCCUCCUCAAAGGUAGGAUUUGGGGCAAAAGGAAGCGCCUCCACCUUGUGCUCUUUACUAGGCCUGUUCAUCUCCCUUAUCAUCGCCGCCGCCUCUGUCAACGUUAGGAUUUCGGGCGCCGGGGGCUGAAGGAGUGGGGCAGCUGGUAGAGGGUUACAGGCAUGGCCGAGGUGAAGUGGCAAUGGCGAGUUGCCUGAUGGCUCCUGGGAUUGGUCGGAUGGUUGUUUCUUGAUAAUCUUCAUCUCCUGCUCCCGAAUUGGGGCCUCAGCAGCAACAGAUGUAGAAGGAGAUAGAAACCUCUGCUCCACACGCUUGUGCUCCUUCUUCUUCUUCUUCCCUCGCUCCUCCUCAAAG
This 1010-nucleotide long non-coding RNA is filed under the name Hordeum vulgare. Its description in RNAcentral is "long non-coding RNA (HVUL_LNC015016)". Lineage: Eukaryota; Viridiplantae; Streptophyta; Magnoliopsida; Poales; Poaceae. The record is from RNAcentral.